GAUGAACGCUGGCGGCGUGCUUAACACAUGCAAGUCGAACGAGAAAUGGAGACGGAAACCUUCGGGCGGAAGGCUUCAUUUCGAGUGGCGGACGGGUGAGUAACGCGUGGGUAACCUGCCUCAUACAGGGGGAUAACAGUUGGAAACGACUGUUAAUACCGCAUAAGACCACAGCACCGCAUGAUGCGGGGGUAAAAACUCCGGUGGUAUGAGAUGGACCCGCGUUCGAUUAGCCAGUUGGCGGGGUAACGGCCCACCAAAGCGACGAUCGAUAGCCGAUCUGAGAGGAUGACCGGCCACAUUGGGACUGAGACACGGCCCAAACUCCUACGGGAGGCAGCAGUGGGGAAUAUUGCACAAUGGGGGAAACCCUGAUGCAGCGACGCCGCGUGAGUGAAGAAGUACUUCGGUAUGUAAAGCUCUAUCAGCAGGGAAGAAAAUGACGGUACCUGAGUAAGAAGCCCCGGCUAACUACGU
Molecule: ribosomal RNA, 477 nt
Filed under: uncultured bacterium
Lineage: Bacteria
Description: partial 16S ribosomal RNA
Rfam family: Bacterial small subunit ribosomal RNA
Source: RNAcentral